Molecule: long non-coding RNA, 212 nt
Filed under: Phoenix dactylifera (date palm)
Lineage: Eukaryota; Viridiplantae; Streptophyta; Magnoliopsida; Arecales; Arecaceae
Description: long non-coding RNA (PDAC_LNC008297)
Source: RNAcentral
UGGUCGGUAGGCAACCCCACGCUACCUUCCAGAUGAAGAGCGCCACACGCGGGUGAAUCCGCAUCCUCCAGAUCCAUCCUCCCUCUAUCUGUCGGGCUGGCUCUCGGCUCAAUAAUGUGUGGAUAUCCCUGGCUCGCACCUGCGAUCGCCCUGUCGGCAUCCAGACUAAUCUAUCCGCCCCUCCCUGGGCAAAAACAGGUAGGGCCAGGAUC